UGGCUAGGCAGCAGCCAGCGCAGCUUGACAGAAGAAGGAGCUGGGAGCAAACAGUCAUAGACUCGGGAGGGGGCAGGCCCGGUGGGCUGACCACGGAGCCUUUCCUAUUUGAGGCUCUAAUUCACAGGAUACAGCAGCAGAAAAAAAUAGCACAUCCAUGGCCUCCUGCUGAUGUAAUGUCACUGGAUCAACAGAGCAGUCAUACUUGUACAAUCACACAGGCACAGACCCAGCGUGCGGGGCAAAGGAACCUCGAUUCGGUUCAAGAAGCAAUUAUCGAUCACCUUCCAGCAGAGACUAGACCCUGGGAUACAGAGACAAGCUGGUGAUCUAGCCGAGGCAUGCAUCAUCGACGACGACCGUGGACCAAGUUGCCAAGGGAACUUGGCAGUCAUUUGCCGAGUACUCCUGAGCCAGACUGGUGGGCAUGUGUCCCCUAGAAGCCCUGUAGCCUGAGGAGAAGUUCUCGUGUGGUGUCUGUUUCAUCGUGAUCAGGACCCGUCUCUGGAAGCUACCUGUUUUUCCACAUUAUCAAAAUAAAGAAGAUGACUGCCAUCCUUUCAUAUGCACAGUCGGUCAGCCACGUGGACUGGUUAGACACACACAGGUUGAUCAGCACAUAGAGAUCAAUCAGCUCAUAUGGAUUGAUCAGUGCAUAGAGACUGAUCAGACCGCUGUAUUUUAUGGGAAGGAAACAGACUACAGAAGAAGUGAAGAGAUACUCAAGGUCACAUGGCUAUUAGGUAGCAGCAACCUGGCCACUUAUAUUAUGGAGGACCGAUCUACGAUAAUUGUCAAAUCAGAGUUACAGAGAAAAUGCCACAAACUUUCCAAUUAGGAACCCGGAAGUGGUGCUGGGGCGGAGUCAAGUUGAUCUUCCUGCCCUUUUGAUAGCCAAACGCUCUGCUUGGAUCAACAUUGGUUCACCUUCCAGUGGCUUCUUCUACUCAACUUGGGAUUACACACCCUGUGUUCAGAGUUCAUAGACCUGGCUGGGCUUGCUGAAGAGCAUCUGCUCUCUGCAGUUCUGCGAAACCAGACAGAAGAUUCUGGCCUAGCACACCUUGGUUCUGAAGGAUAAGGGGAGGCCCUUUGGUGACAAGACCAGUCUUGGAUUUCUGGUUUCUCUGAGAGAGAGAGAGAGAGAGAGAGAGAGAGGGAGGCAGAGGCCCUCUCUGCUGGGUUUACAAAGUGACCCCAGAAGCCCUGUUAGCACACACAUGUUGCUCACCUGUAGUUCUUGGUUAAACCAUCCAAAGAUACAGGACACCAUUUUGGGUGCAACAGGGGACUCACGGGGCCAAAACAGAUACAAACCUUCCGUCCCAUGGGUUAGGAUUGGGAGAAAGACAAAUACCUGAGAGUAUCUGCUGCUCAUAUGAAAGGGACUAUGUGUACACACACGGGUGAUGGGAUGGCCUUUGGCCAAAAGCAACACAACUCUGACCUGACAGACUUGUAAGAUGGGCUGCUCACGUAUACCUCAGCCCACGCUGAGGUCACGGGGACCUGUACACCUGACGGUCCUGGGAAAGGAAGGUCUGUAGUCUCUGGAGAAAAUUCAGUGGGGCACAGAAGGAGAGGAGGAGGAGAGGGGCGGGGAGGGAGAGGCCCACCUUGCAAAUCCCUCCUCCACCCCUCCCUCCCUUCCCCCACCUCCCUCCACCCCCACUUCAAGACAGAAGAGCCAAGGGCAUGGGCCAGCCAACUCUGUGGCCUGUUUAUACCCUGUAACCAGAGCCUGUUGCCGCCCAGGCUGCCUGACAGCUGCAGUGAUAAGGGGACGGCUGUCGCUUCGAGAGGAUGGCCUGUACUGGCGUCCAUCUCGGGAGCAGCUUAUCCCGAUCAUUUUCCCAAGCCGGGGGGUGGGAGUGGGAACAGGUGCGGCUGGCUUCCAGCUACCGCUCGGGGGCGGUCUUCCCGAAUCCGAAUCCGGGUGAGCUGGGAGGCCU
Molecule: long non-coding RNA, 1952 nt
Organism: Acinonyx jubatus (cheetah)
Lineage: Eukaryota; Metazoa; Chordata; Mammalia; Carnivora; Felidae
Exons: 3
Source: RefSeq, a predicted model, not a curated record